CCCUUAGAUGUUCUGGGCCGCACGCGCGCUACAAUGAUGAAUUCAACGAGUUUAUAACCUUGGUUGAAAAGCCUGGGUAAUCUUUUGAACUUUUGUCGUGAUGGGGCUAGACCCUUGCAAUUAUUGGUCUCCAACGAGGAAUUCCUAGUAAACGCAAGUCAUCAGCUUGCAUUGAUUACGUCCCUGCCCUUUGUACACACCGCCCGUCGCACCUACCGAUUGAAUGGUCCGGUGAAAUCUUCGGAUUGAGACUUUGAUUUCUUCACGGAAAACGUUGUUUUAUAAAGUUGAUUAAACCUUACCAUUUAGAGGAAGGUGAAGUCGUAACA
This 329-nucleotide ribosomal RNA is filed under the name uncultured eukaryote. Its description in RNAcentral is "partial 18S ribosomal RNA". It matches the Rfam family "Eukaryotic small subunit ribosomal RNA", at positions 1470 to 1796 of the family's 1831-position model. The record is from RNAcentral.